GACGAACGCUGGCGGCGUGCUUAACACAUGCAAGUCGAACGGAAAGGCCCUGCUUUUGUGGGGUGCUCGAGUGGCGAACGGGUGAGUAACACGUGAGUAACCUGCCCUUGACUUUGGGAUAACUUCAGGAAACUGGGGCUAAUACCGGAUAGGAGCUCCUGCUGCAUGGUGGGGGUUGGAAAGUUUCGGCGGUUGGGGAUGGACUCGCGGCUUAUCAGCUUGUUGGUGGGGUAGUGGCUUACCAAGGCUUUGACGGGUAGCCGGCCUGAGAGGGUGACCGGCCACAUUGGGACUGAGAUACGGCCCAGACUCCUACGGGAGGCAGCAGUGGGGAAUAUUGCACAGUGGGCGGAAGCCUGAUGCAGCAACGCCGCGUGCGGGAUGACGGCCUUCGGGUUGUAAACCGCUUUCGCCUGUGACGAAGCGUGAGUGACGGUAAUGGGUAAAGAAGCACCGGCUAACUACGUGCCAGCAGCCGCGGUGAUACGUAGGGUGCGAGCGUUGUCCGGAUUUAUUGGGCGUAAAGGGCUCGUAGGUGGUUGAUCGCGUCGGAAGUGUAGUCUUGGGGCUUAACCCUGAGCGUGCUUUCGAUACGGGUUGACUUGAGGAAGGUAGGGGAGAAUGGAAUUCCUGGUGGAGCGGUGGAAUGCGCAGAUAUCAGGAGGAACACCAGUGGCGAAGGCGGUUCUCUGGGCCUUUCCUGACGCUGAGGAGCGAAAGCGUGGGGAGCGAACAGGCUUAGAUACCCUGGUAGUCCACGCUGUAAACGGUGGGUACUAGGUGUGGGGUCCACUCCACGGGUUCCGUGCCGUAGCUAACGCUUUAAGUACCCCGCCUGGGGAGUACGGCCGCAAGGCUAAAACUCAAAGGAAUUGACGGGGCCCCGCACAAGCGGCGGAGCAUGCGGAUUAAUUCGAUGCAACGCGUAGAACCUUACCUGGGUUUGACAUGGAUCGGGAGUGCUCAGAGAUGGGUGUGCCUCUUUUGGGGUCGGUUCACAGGUGGUGCGUGGCUGUCGUCAGCUCGUGUCGUGAGAUGUUGGGUUAAGUCCCGCAACGAGCGCAACCCUUGUUCACUGUUGCCAGCACGUUAUGGUGGGGACUCAGUGGAGACCGCCGGGGUCAACUCGGAGGAAGGUGGGGAUGACGUCAAGUCAUCAUGCCCCUUAUGUCCAGGGCUUCACGCAUGCUACAAUGGCUGGUACAGAGAGUGGCGAGCCUGUGAGGGUGAGCGAAUCUCGGAAAGCCGGUCUCAGUUCGGAUUGGGGUCUGCAACUCGACCUCAUGAAGUCGGAGUCGCUAGUAAUCGCAGAUCAGCAACGCUGCGGUGAAUACGUUCCCGGGGCU
RNAcentral lists this ribosomal RNA (1346 nucleotides) under uncultured bacterium. Its description in RNAcentral is "partial 16S ribosomal RNA". It matches the Rfam family "Bacterial small subunit ribosomal RNA", at positions 28 to 1381 of the family's 1533-position model. The record is from RNAcentral.